UACGAAGGGGGCUAGCGUUGCUCGGAAUCACUGGGCGUAAAGGGUGCGUAGGCGGGUUUUUAAGACAGAGGUGAAAUCCUGGAGCUCAACUCCAGAACUGCCUUUGAUACUGAGAAUCUUGAGUACGGGAGAGGUGAGUGGAACUGCGAGUGUAGAGGUGAAAUUCGUAGAUAUUCGCAAGAACACCAGUGGCGAAGGCGGCUCACUGGCCCGUAACUGACGCUGAGGCACGAAAGCCAGGGGAGCAAACGGG
Molecule: ribosomal RNA, 253 nt
Filed under: uncultured bacterium
Lineage: Bacteria
Description: partial 16S ribosomal RNA
Rfam family: Bacterial small subunit ribosomal RNA
Source: RNAcentral